UAUAUUUUUUUAUUAUGUUGUCAUGUUUUUAUUGUGUUUGUUUAGUUGUUUAACCCAGCUGCAGUUUGUGAUUAUCGUUACCUCAUUUUCGACUGUGUGUAGUCCAGAUGUGUUCCUCAGUGAUGUGAAGCUGCUGACCAGUCGAUGGUGAUGAGGGAGUGCUCACUGUCCCUCUCCUGAAAUCCACCCGCAGCUCCGUGGUCUUCUCGAUGUUUAGAGAGAGGGAGAACAGCAGAGGACUGAGAACACAGCCCUGUGGGGCUCCAGUGUUGAGGGUCAGCGGGGAGGAGAUGUUGCAGCCAGCUCUGACCACCUUCUGUCUGUCAGGAAGUCCAGGAUCCAGCUCCACAGAGAACUGUUCAGACCCAGAGCCCAGAGUUUCACCACAAGCUUAGACGACUCUAUGGUAUUAGUCACUGUGCUGUACUCAAACAACAUUCUCUCAUGUUCCUCUUGUCGAGAUGGAGCGCUCUGUGUGGGAGGAGGAGCGGCAGUGAUGAAGCGGUGUUUGUAGCAGGGAGUGUGUAGAAGGGUGUUUGUUGAAGGGUGUUUGCGAUCCUUGUAGUCUGUGAUGUUGUAGAGUCCUUGCCACAAGCAGUUGGAAGUGGUGAACUGUGCUUCAAAUUGACUUAAAAAUAAAAUUGCUUGUUUUUAAUGCU
This is a long non-coding RNA of Carassius auratus (goldfish), 659 nucleotides long. RefSeq lists it as uncharacterized. The transcript has 2 exons. The record is from RefSeq and is a predicted model, not a curated record. NCBI's taxonomy places the organism in Eukaryota, Metazoa, Chordata, Actinopteri, Cypriniformes, Cyprinidae.